Molecule: long non-coding RNA, 1410 nt
Organism: Equus caballus (horse)
Lineage: Eukaryota; Metazoa; Chordata; Mammalia; Perissodactyla; Equidae
Source: Ensembl
CUGCCAUCUGCACAAAACCUGCUGGAGAGAAUGAUGCUGACAGGCAGAGGAAAGCAAGCAAGAGGGACAGGGAGAAAGUCUCAGUGGUUUUGGUCACUGAGGUCAGCCGCAUCCCUGCUCUUCUUCAGGCUGUGUGACACUUCCAACAAAUGUCUUUUUUGCAGAAAGGAGUUUGAGUUGUGUUCCUGUCACUUACUACUAAAAGAAUCGUAAUACAGAAAUUGGAACCUGACUGGGGAGUGGAAAUUGCUGUAGAAUCCUGGAAACUGGAGUGGUGAUACCUGGGAAGGACCACAACCAGCCAAGCGCCUCAUGAUGUGCACUCCCUGACUGAUGAGGAAUUGCCAGCCUCCCCCACCACAGCCCAGCGUGAUGCAAAAGUCCCUGAGCAGGGACAACAUUGAGGGCAGAGCAGCCAGCCGUGCCUUCCCUCCUCACAUUUCCCGCUGAGCCCUGGAGGAAGGGCAGAGCCUCCGGAGCUGCCCUGAGAAGCUGGAGCCACGUGGGUGGCGUCCAAUAUGCCCUCAUGCCUUACAGCUUUCUGGGGUUGGUUACUGGCCAAAAGAGACCCCCAAAAUGAAACUCACUAUCAGCUGAUUAAGAUUUCAGAGUUGAAGAGUUAAUAAAGCCCAAGUCUGCCAAACUGAGGUGUGUGAUUACUCCAACCACUAAAGGAGUUAGUUUUCAAACAUUCUUAAUGAUAAGAAUCACCUGAGACGAUUGUUAAAAAUAGAGAUUCCCAAGCACCUCCCCUUGGAGAGUCAGUGGAUGUGGUGUGUGAUUGAAAAUCUGUAUUUUCACUGAAUUCCCCAGGAUAUUUCUAUCAUCCAGCAAGUUCGGGAAACUCUAUCAUGAGGCAAUUCCCAGGUGUCUAGACCAUCAGGAAGUGGUUCGUGAGGCAGUCCAGCCCCGAGUGUGGGGAUCCUCUCCACCACCCUGCUUGCGAGGGGUCUUAUGGACGUGGGCAAGGGAAAUGUUCCCAACAGGCAGAGCCUGGAGAGUCAGCCUGCGAGCAGAGAACUCAUUCUUUGCCAAGAGGCAGGGAUAUUCAACAGCCACAGCUCUGACCUCACCAUCCCUGUCCAGCUGGAUGUGGUUUAAACGCUGGACCAGUGACCACUGCAUAUCGCCUCCUUUUCACUCAUUUUAAACGGUAGCAUUUAUGACGGUUACCCUGUUUUCCACCAGCAUCAUACAUGAGGUGUGUUGGUGGUUAUAGUAAUCACAUAGCCAACGAGGGCAAGAUCAUGGGGAGCCACGAGAAGACUUGACCAAGAGGAAUAGACACACUCAAGAAUCCUGAACUCGGACUUGCUGUCAAAUAGCCCUCAAAGCUAACGCUUCAAGCACCACUCCUAUCCACACCCAAACUCACUCCUUUUCUCCAAAUAUGUAGAAACAAUAUCUAGC